AGCGGGGGAAGGCUGCAGCCUAUCGACUGGAAGGAAUCGCGCCGGAAACCCUGGCUCUCCUAGUUCAAGCCGCCGAGGAGCGCACUCAUGUCACAUGGGGAGCUUUGAAGUUGCCUCAACUUAAAAUGCAGUCCCUUCAGGGCCAGAAGCGUGGCUCAGUCCCGACCCUACUUUAUUCUGCCUUAAGUCAAACCACAGGCAUCGUUGCCAGCGGUUUACCUUGGCACCUGCGCCACCCCGAUCUCCGUCAUCAAGUAAUAUUUAUGUCGCACGACCGCUGUACCCGGUGACUCAACACCUUGAACGCCACGGCCCUAGACUCGGACCAGGUGAAGACUUGUCGCCGGGGGCACUUUCGAGCGGGGAGAAACUUCUGCUACGGGAGGCUGGGAGAGUACCUCGUGAGGCAGAUAAAGCUCCGUGCUCCCUACAGUCUUUUUUGGUCACGCCUCCAGACUGCAUACGCGGGCAGCUGCAGUUGGCUCAGUUGUGGCAUUUCGAAAUCACAUGCAUCCUUUGUACGGCUGCUCACUUGAUGUGUUGUCACAGAUAAUGAAAGCAGAAAUCUGACUCCCUGGCCUGAUCAUUACACUUGUGGUCAGAAUCCUAGCACAUGAACUGGCACUGCUGCUGGGAACUGUGAGUCAUUCCUUUCAAGUUGUUCCUGGUGUUGAAGCGAGUCUCCGCAGAGGACGAACAAUCUGUCAGUGACUUCAUCAUAUGGCAAGGAGUCUGGAGACAGCUUGGCUCCUGGAAGGGUUCAACCUUGUCAUUAAGGACCAAAGUUCUUUUCAUUUCUUCAUGCUCCCAUUCUUCUUGGUGUGGUGGCUUAUUUCUCAAGCUCUAUCCUUCAUUUUGGCAAAAUUGCUGCUGCAGAUCCUGACAUCACAUGAAGAACUGAGAAGAGGUUAUUUCCUUCUGUGAACCACCAUACCUUUCUCCAAAAUUCCCAGCAGAAUUAGCCCCAUUGACCCCAAUUGUCUCUCGUGCCCAGGCAUAAGUCACUCAAACAAGACUGAUUUUUCUGGGACCGAAGAGGGGUCUGUCCUCCCUUGGAUAAUGUGUUGAAGGAUAAAAAAAUCUGGGAUUUUGUUAGCAAGGGAAAAGCAAUGUAAGGCAAACAAAAUUCGCAUUGCACAUUUUAUUUUCAGAGAAAUUAUACUCAAAAUAAAAAUUCAAUAUGAAAUAAGUACAAAAUCUUCACCACCCACAAAUAUAGGUAUGACAUUUAGUAUCUGAUCUACAAUCCAUUUAUUCUUUAUUCUUUCAACAAAUAUUCUUCAACCACUUGCUACCUGUCAGCCUCAGUUUUGGUACUAAAGUUAGAGAGAUGAACAAGUUAGACAUUUGUCUGUAUUAGGAAUGCUUCCAGCAGCAAGUAACAUAAUAGACAGUUCAGAAACUUAACCCAUAGAGACAUGUAAUGUUUACCUAACAGAAAUUGAGGACAGGCGGUCUGUAAGCCAACCCCCGUUAAAAUGUUUCCAAGGAUACAGGUUCUUUCUUCUCUGUGUCCUUAGCAUGCUGGCUUUUAUCUUUAUUCUUGUCACCUCAUUGCUCCAUGGUUGCCAUAGCUCCAAACAUCUCAUCUGAUUUCAAAUCAGAAAGAAGUGGUAAAGGGAGUUCUUUUCUUAUUGUCAUUUUUAUAAGCACUGAAAAGCCCUCAGAAGCCUCCUAGCAGAUUUCCAGGAAAUCUCAUUGGCAGAACCAUGCCAUGCUCAACAGCAAAGGAGUCUGGAAUAGUAAUUAUCUCACAAAGUGCUGGCGGCUGUAUGCAUCAUUGACCCCAAUAAAAUUGAGAUUCUGUGUAUAAGGACAGACAUGGAUGAUGAUUAGUCUAUUACAGUGUCUUUCAUAGUCUCCUUCUUCAUGGAGUUAGUUCUCUGGCCAUUUUGUGGAAAGGUAGAGAUAAUACAUAUUUUUUAUACUCUAGUCUUCGAAAUUAUAUCUGAGGAAUUUACAUAGUGUUUUUUGUAUAGGAUAAUCUUGGGCACAUUCAGAUAGACAUGCUAUUCCCUAUAUAAGCUUGACAAGAACUGGGGGUUGCGAUCUGUAGGGCUUCACUUGGUUUCAUCUCGUGGCUCUAAGAUGUUACAGAGAGGGACAGAAAUGUAGAACCAGACACUUGUGUUAAAUAUUAGUGGACAGUGAUUCCUGGGGUAAAAAGUGCCGUGAGCAGAGCAUUCACUGGUUUCCAUGUAGAACCACGCACAUCUUAUGCCAUCAUCAGCUUAUUUGGCUGCUUCACUAGAUAAUGAGCUCCUUGAGGAAAGAAACUUUUAUUUAUUUCUGGAUUCCCAGCCCUGCGGAUGGUGUCUGGCACCUAGUAGGUACUGAGUGAAGGUUGGAGGUUAGAGCUUAUCUUUCAGAAAGCAAAACGUGGGGAGCAAAGUUCGACCAGUGCAUAUGAAGGAGCUAAAACGUCAAGUGUUUAGAAAACUAAUUUAAAAAAUGAAAAACAGGCAAAUGAUAGAAACAGGUUAGGUGGCAACUAGAACUUAGGAGGAGUAAUUUCUCUCCUUUAUUUGUUUAGUUUUUUUCUUUCUCUCUGGGAGGAGCGGUGGAGGUCACGUGGUGUUUGUGCAAAUCGCCUGGGUCUACAUGGCACCGAAGUGGGGCUAAAGUGUGAAUGAGGUGGAACACUCAGAAACAGCCUGUCAAAACAAGCACGAUUCAAAGCAGCUGCCCUGUAUAGUGUGUCAUUUUUACAGCAAUAAAAGCAGUAAUGACGGACUUUAUAUUGCAGUCACAAGCUACCAUUACUGUGUUAGAUAAGUGAAUUCAUGCAGGUCUUCUAGAAGUCCAAGGGCGUGUUGCUGUUCUUUCUUUCUUUAAAACAUUCAAAAAUAAGAUUUCUCCAAUGGUGCUUUUUAGUGUUUGCUGUAUGAGACUGUUAUUGCAGUACAAAUUUACAUUUUAUUGGGGAUAUUGCUCCAUGAUAAUUCUCACAAUACUCCUCUUUGGAAACGUCAGUAAAACUUUCCUUAAAGAGCAAGCCUUUGUGUUCACCUUCCAUGCAAGGCAUACAUCGGCGUAAGAAGGAGGGGAGGACCUUGCAUUGAACUGGGCCCUGUCCCGGGUCCAAGACUAACUACUAAUCCUGGACCUUAGCCAAGGCAUUAGCCUAUCUGCUCUUUGGUUUCUACAACUGUGAAAGAGACCUGUUGUGAGAAGAUGAUCUCAUGACUUUUUUCUAGCUCUAAAAUUUUAUGAUUAUAACACAUUACAUGCCUGCCUUUACAGGAACCGAAGAGGGUUAAGGAUUAACACAGUCCUUCCCCUACACGUUAGGUUUAUCACCUCAUCUUUUGUAAUAUUAACUUAAAAAUUAUUAUAUUGUACAUUUAAGCAAAUAUGGCAGCUAUAUAAAAUAAUAAGAAAACUAAAUACAAUUAACAUUUGGUAUGUUUAUUUUAAGGUCCAUUUCUACAAAUACCCGAUGUGCAUAUGCGUAACUGGAAUCAUACUGUAUACAGAAUUGUGUGCCUGCCUUUUUUUCCGCUGAAUUUUAUAUUGUGAACAUUUUCCCAUCCCAUUACAAAUAUCCUUCAAAAAAACAGUAGUUUUCUUAAAAAAAUGUUUUAUAUUGCUACAUAUAACACAGAUAAGAAAUCUGUAUAAAUGAAUUGUUAUAAGGUAAGCAUGGUUAUAGCUGUCACCUCUCUCAGCCACCCCAGAAACUCUUCUAACAGAACCCUCCCCCUCCCUGCUGAAAUUCAUUGCCCUAAUGACUUCUAUGGUAACAAUUACCUUAUUUUUAUUUAUAUUUUUACCACUGAGUGUAUAUCCCUAAAUGCUAUCAUUUAGUGUUGCCUAAAGGUAUAAUUUUUAGUGAAUAUUUAUUAUUCCAUCAUAUAAGGAUGCAUCAAUACAUGCACAUACAGCUUAUUGGACUAUUUACUUCCUUUUCUGACAGCUGAUUGUUUCAUUUAUAUUUUUUGAAUUGGUAUCUAUUCACAUAAUGCAAAAUCUUAAAGGCUCAAAGGAAUGCAGUGAAGAGGCUCCCUCUCACUUCCGUCCUCCAGCAAUCUGGCUUUCUCUAGGACUAGUUGUCAGGAAGUUGUUUUUGAGGAAAAAGGAGCCUAAGAAUGGUAUUGAUAUUUUUUUCAGUUUUAAUGUCCAAAAUGAAUCUAAGUAGGUACGAAAAAUAUAAUUCUACUAAAGCAUGAAAAAUCCCUGUAAUUGAUUCUUUCAUAUGAAAUUAACAGUUUCUGGAGUGGAUAUGUAGUUUCACUUUUAGGUUAAAUGCGUAACAUUGAAUGUUGUGUGAAUUGGAAGUGAUAUAACCACAGAAGGAAGUCUAGGAUCAAAUUAGAUGUAGAGUGUUGUGGUGUUUUACUUUGCUUUAUUGUAGAGGUGAGAGACCCAAGCGGCUUUGUCUCUUUGGCACAAUGGGAAACUUGGUUUCUUAUGUUUUGCUCUAGCAGAUCAAUAAAUACUGUCAUCAUGCUAAUUAUGUUAAUGCAAAAAUAUGUAAUUCAGAAUGAAGGAGCUAACUACUGCAUAACUACCUAAUCUGCCUGACCAGUACACAAUUUUUAUGCAUUAGGGUUUUUUGGUUGCAAGAAAUAAAAGCAGACUGCUUAACUUAAAUAAAAAGAAUUUCCUGGAACGAUUCAGG
Long non-coding RNA from Mirounga angustirostris (Northern elephant seal), 4621 nucleotides. RefSeq lists it as uncharacterized. The record is from RefSeq and is a predicted model, not a curated record. The transcript is spliced from 3 exons. NCBI's taxonomy places the organism in Eukaryota, Metazoa, Chordata, Mammalia, Carnivora, Phocidae.